RNAcentral lists this ribosomal RNA (497 nucleotides) under uncultured bacterium. RNAcentral's name for it is "bacterial SSU rRNA". It matches the Rfam family "Bacterial small subunit ribosomal RNA", at positions 791 to 1282 of the family's 1533-position model. The record is from RNAcentral.
UAGUCCACGCCGUAAACGAUGUCAACUAGCUGUCUGUGACUAUAUGUUGUGGGUAGCGUAGCUAACGCGCUAAGUUGACCGCCUGGGGAGUACGGCCGCAAGGUUAAAACUCAAAUGAAUUGACGGGGGGCCCGCACAAGCGGUGGAGCAUGUGGUUUAAUUCGAUGCAACGCGAAGAACCUUACCAUCCCUUGACAUCCACAGAAGAGACUAGAGAUAGACUUGUGCCUUCGGGAACUGUGAGACAGGUGCUGCAUGGCUGUCGUCAGCUCGUGUUGUGAAAUGUUGGGUUAAGUCCCGCAACGAGCGCAACCCUUAUCCUUAUUUGCCAGCGCGUAGAGGCGGGAACUUUAAGGAGACUGCCGGUGAUAAACCGGGAGGAAGGUGGGGACGACGUCAAGUCAUCAUGGGCCCUUACGGGGAUGGGGCUACACACGUGCUACAAUGGCGUAUACAGAGUGCAGCGAGACCGCGAGGUGGAGCGAAUCACACAAAGU